Molecule: ribosomal RNA, 486 nt
Filed under: Streptococcus sp. oral taxon 058
Lineage: Bacteria; Bacillati; Bacillota; Bacilli; Lactobacillales; Streptococcaceae
Description: bacterial SSU rRNA
Rfam family: Bacterial small subunit ribosomal RNA
Source: RNAcentral
GACGAACGCUGCGGCGUGCCUAAUACAUGCAAGUAGAACGCUGAAGGAGGAGCUUGCUUCUCUGGAUGAGUUGCGAACGGGUGAGUAACGCGUAGGUAACCUGCCUGGUAGCGGGGGAUAACUAUUGGAAACGAUAGCUAAUACCGCAUAAUAUUGACUAUUGCAUGAUAGUUGAUUAAAAGGUGCAAUUGCACCACUACCAGAUGGACCUGCGUUGUAUUAGCUAGUUGGUGAGGUAACGGCUCACCAAGGCGACGAUACAUAGCCGACCUGAGAGGGUGAUCGGCCACACUGGGACUGAGACACGGCCCAGACUCCUACGGGAGGCAGCAGUAGGGAAUCUUCGGCAAUGGACGGAAGUCUGACCGAGCAACGCCGCGUGAGUGAAGAAGGUUUUCGGAUCGUAAAGCUCUGUUGUAAGAGAAGAACGAGUGUGAGAGUGGAAAGUUCACACUGUGACGGUAUCUUACCAGAAAGGACGGCUAA